This 442-nucleotide ribosomal RNA is filed under the name uncultured Mesorhizobium sp. Its description in RNAcentral is "bacterial SSU rRNA". It matches the Rfam family "Bacterial small subunit ribosomal RNA", at positions 338 to 797 of the family's 1533-position model. The record is from RNAcentral. Lineage: Bacteria; Pseudomonadati; Pseudomonadota; Alphaproteobacteria; Hyphomicrobiales; Phyllobacteriaceae.
CCUACGGGUGGCAGCAGUGGGGAAUAUUGGACAAUGGGCGAAAGCCUGAUCCAGCCAUGCCGCGUGAGUGAUGAAGGCCCUAGGGUUGUAAAGCUCUUUCACCGGUGAAGAUAAUGACGGUAACCGGAGAAGAAGCCCCGGCUAACUUCGUGCCAGCAGCCGCGGUAAUACGAAGGGGGCUAGCGUUGUUCGGAAUUACUGGGCGUAAAGCGCACGUAGGCGGAUUGUUAAGGGAGGGGUGAAAUCCCAGGGGUCAACCCUGGGACUGCCUUUCAUACUGGCAAUCUCGAGGCCGGAAGAGGUGAGUGGAAUUCCGAGUGUAGAGGUGAAAUUCGUAGAUAUUCGGAGGAACACCAGUGGCGAAGGCGGCUCACUGGUCCGGUACUGACGCUGAGGUGCGAAAGCGUGGGGAGCAAACAGGAUUAGAUACCCUAGUAGUCCC